UUUUGGAUUGCUUGAAAUCUAUUGCUUAUAAUCUCUUCCUCCCCUGUUAAAUCUGUUGCUUGAAAUCUUUUGGAUUGCUUGAAAUUUGCUGCUUAAAAUGUCUUCUUCCCCUAUUAAACUUGUUGCUUGAAAUCGCUUGAAACAGAUUUUGAAUCGUUAUUCGAUGGAUUGAUUAACAACAGAUUGACCCGAUGCUGCUCGAAUGCUUUAUAUGAACUUUUUAUAUCGAAUUGAUGUUGCUCUAUUUUUUAUAAUAGAUUGAUGAUGGUCGGUUUUUUAUUUCAUUGCACCUUUAUUGUUAAAAGUCAGAAGCUUUUCUUUAUGAAGCAGUGAUUAAGACUCAACCUAAAUAUCACUUUCAAAUGGUUUAGUAUCCCUCGAGUGCUUGGACAACUCGCUCUACAGUCAAGAAAAUGAAAAAAAAGACAACAGAAAGCUUGUAUUAUUACAGAGGGAAUAAGCCUUAUCUUGAAAUUAACAUUCAAUAUUAUACUUAUGGUAAGAGAAGAUAAAAUGUCAAUACGGUUAUCAAAAGAUACAAUAUCAAUACACACAAAGACUAGUGAACAAGUGCAUUAGGGGUAUUGUAUAGAUACUGAUGUCUCCUAUCAUGAGCUGGCUGCCUAGAGCUUCUUAAGUGAGGCUUUGAGAUGCGACUGAAGACCAAUUAGACUGGUGGCCAUUUCCACAACAUAAGAUAGUUCACAAUUCUCCGCUUUAAAAACUCAAUUGAUAUCCUUGACUUGUCCAUUGGGUAAGUAUUUUGCCAUAGAAUUGACUAGACGGACCAGGGGUUUAAGUUAUUGUUUUGGAAUUAACUAAAUUUGGAGACAGUAGCUCCUUGUGCCUAUUGACAAUACAAUAUUAGGUUGUAUAGCUUAAUUGACAUCCUUGAACAACCUCGAGAGUCCUUCAGUUUCAAAAUUUCUCGCUUUAUUUGGUCUACUCAUUUUAUUUUGGAAUCAAUAUAAUUAGUAAUUUGAUCAAUUAGCUCAUCGAGUUUGACUUAAUUGUAGUUUUCAUGUUUUUUUUGUGUGUGAAAAUGUUAGUAUAAUUAUUUGGUUCAAGGGGUCCGAGCUUGUAUAGGUAGCUUUUUAGCUUCUUUUAAAGUGGAAGUUUAAUAUCUUCAAAUAUAAGUGUUAUUCUAAGUUAUUGUUUUAUGUCUAGAAUGAAAAGUCUAGUGGUAUAUGAUUCGCUCAUAGCAUUCUCUCUAACACCUUAAGUGUUCAAGCUUCUGAUAAGAAAAAGUAGAUAAACACAUUUCUUUAAUAAAGUAUAAAAAGUAGCUUCUGUUUGACAUUGUAUAAUAUUAAUUUGCAAUGAGAGUAACCCUCAACAAGGAUGUAGUUGAUUUCGAGCAGCUUAUAUCAGUAGCUAUUUAUGUUCAUGUUCUAUAUUGCUCCAUUUGUUUUACAUUCUUGACCUAAGAGUCUUUCGGAAGCCCCUUAAUCUGUAUAUCUGUUCGUAUAUUUGGUAAGCGAUGACAUGCUCAAUCAUCUCUUUAUAAUUUCUAGAUGUCUUAGUAAGUAAAUCCACACCCUUUUAGGCUUUGCAUAAUCGGUUGAAUUUUUCAAGUUUAUUUACUAUGUCUCUUUCUUG
RNAcentral lists this long non-coding RNA (1599 nucleotides) under Nicotiana benthamiana. RNAcentral's name for it is "long non-coding RNA (NBEN_LNC005701)". Lineage: Eukaryota; Viridiplantae; Streptophyta; Magnoliopsida; Solanales; Solanaceae. The record is from RNAcentral.